RNAcentral lists this non-coding RNA (176 nucleotides) under Anaerolineales bacterium. RNAcentral's name for it is "6S RNA". It matches the Rfam family "6S / SsrS RNA". Rfam says of the family: E. coli 6S RNA was the first non coding RNA to be sequenced, but its function was unknown until recently. The record is from RNAcentral. Lineage: Bacteria; Bacillati; Chloroflexota; Anaerolineae; Anaerolineales.
UGUACCCUGCUGUGUUCGUGAUAUUGCCCUCACGUUUUGAGCCAACAUCCCCCAAAAGGGUUCUUAUCUCAAGGAAAUAACGCGAUAGGCCUGAGCCAAGGCGGCGUUUCCGGGUCGGGACCCACCUGCGAAAGCAGGUUCAAAACCUAGCAGUACACGGCAUAAGCGGGGUUCGA